GGUUAAGUGACUAAGCGUACACGGUGGAUGCCUUGGCAGUCAGAGGCGAUGAAAGACGUAGUAACUUGCGAUAAGCCCAGAUUAGGUAGUAACAACCAUUUGAGUCUGGGAUUUCUGAAUGGGGAAACCCACUUACAUAAGUAAGUAUCAUUAACUGAAUACAUAGGUUAAUGAGGCGAACCGGGGGAACUGAAACAUCUAAGUACCCCGAGGAAAAGAAAUCAACCGAGAUUCCGAAAGUAGCGGCGAGCGAAAUUGGACUAGCCCUUAAGCUUUACACGCGUUAGACGAACGGUCUGGAAAGUCCGACGAUACAGGGUGAUAGUCCCGUAGUUGACGACGUGUGUUCAGUGAAAUCGAGUAGGGCGGGACACGUGAUAUCCUGUCUGAAUAUGGGGGGACCAUCCUCCAAGGCUAAAUACUACUGACUGACCGAUAGUGAACCAGUACCGUGAGGGAAAGGCGAAAAGAACCCCUGUGAGGGGAGUGAAAUAGAACCUGAAACCGUGUACGUACAAGCAGUAGGAGCAGGCUUUGUCCUGUGACUGCGUACCUUUUGUAUAAUGGGUCAGCGACUUAUAUUCAGUGGCAAGGUUAACCAUCUAGGGGAGCCGUAGGGAAACCGAGUCUUAACUGGGCGUUCAGUCUCUGGAUAUAGACCCGAAACCAGGUGAUCUAGCCAUGGGCAGGUUGAAGGUUGAGUAACAUCAACUGGAGGACCGAACCGACUAAUGUUGAAAAAUUAGCGGAUGACUUGUGGCUAGGGGUGAAAGGCCAAUCAAACCUGGAGAUAGCUGGUUCUCCCCGAAAGCUAUUUAGGUAGCGCCUCGGACGAAUACUACUGGGGGUAGAGCACUGUUAAGGCUAGGGGGUCAUCCCGACUUACCAACCCUUUGCAAACUCCGAAUACCAGUAAGUACUAUCCGGGAGACACACGGCGGGUGCUAACGUCCGUCGUGGAGAGGGAAACAACCCAGACCGCCAGCUAAGGUCCCAAAUUACUACUAAGUGGGAAACGAUGUGGGAAGGCUCAGACAGCCAGGAUGUUGGCUUAGAAGCAGCCAUCAUUUAAAGAAAGCGUAAUAGCUCACUGGUCGAGUCGGCCUGCGCGGAAGAUGUAACGGGGCUAAGUAGUAAACCGAAGCUGCGGCAAUAUACUUUUGUAUAUUGGGUAGGGGAGCGUUCUGUAAGCGGUUGAAGGUGUGUGGUAACGCAUGCUGGACGUAUCAGAAGUGCGAAUGCUGACAUGAGUAACGAUAAAGGGGGUGAAAAACCUCCUCGCCGGAAGACCAAGGGUUCCUGUCCAACGUUAAUCGGGGCAGGGUAAGUCGACCCCUAAGGCGAGGCCGAAAGGCGUAGUCGAUGGGAAACGGGUUAAUAUUCCCGUACUUCUUACAAUUGCGAUGGGGGGGACGGAGAAGGCUAGGUGGGCCUGGCGACGGUUGUCCAGGUUCAAGUGCGUAGGCUUAAGAGUUAGGUAAAUCCGGCUCUUUUUAAGGCUGAGGCACGACGUCGAGCAUCUACGGAUGUGAAGUCAUUGAUGCCAUGCUUCCAGGAAAAGCCUCUAAGCUUCAGAUUGUAAGGAAUCGUACCCCAAACCGACACAGGUGGUCGGGUAGAGAAUACCAAGGCGCUUGAGAGAACUCGGGUGAAGGAACUAGGCAAAAUGGUACCGUAACUUCGGGAGAAGGUACGCUCUUGAUGGUGAAGUCCCUUGCGGAUGGAGCUGACGAGAGUCGCAGAUACCAGGUGGCUGCAACUGUUUAUUAAAAACACAGCACUGUGCAAAAUCGUAAGAUGACGUAUACGGUGUGACGCCUGCCCGGUGCCGGAAGGUUAAUUGAUGGGGUUAGACUUCGGUCGAAGCUCUUGAUCGAAGCCCCGGUAAACGGCGGCCGUAACUAUAACGGUCCUAAGGUAGCGAAAUUCCUUGUCGGGUAAGUUCCGACCUGCACGAAUGGCGUAAUGAUGGCCACGCUGUCUCCACCCGAGACUCAGUGAAAUUGAAAUCGCUGUGAAGAUGCAGUGUACCCGCGGCUAGACGGAAAGACCCCGUGAACCUUUACUACAGCUUGGCACUGAACAUUGACCCUACAUGUGUAGGAUAGGUGGGAGGCUUUGAAGCACGUACGCCAGUAUGUGUGGAGCCGUCCUUGAAAUACCACCCUUGUAGUGUUGAUGUUCUAACGUCGACCCCUUAUCGGGGUUGCGGACAGUGCCUGGUGGGUAGUUUGACUGGGGCGGUCUCCUCCCAAAGAGUAACGGAGGAGCACGAAGGUGGGCUAAUCACGGUUGGACAUCGUGAGGUUAGUGCAAUGGCAUAAGCCCGCUUGACUGCGAGAAUGACAAUUCGAGCAGGUGCGAAAGCAGGUCAUAGUGAUCCGGUGGUUCUGAAUGGAAGGGCCAUCGCUCAACGGAUAAAAGGUACUCCGGGGAUAACAGGCUGAUACCGCCCAAGAGUUCAUAUCGACGGCGGUGUUUGGCACCUCGAUGUCGGCUCAUCACAUCCUGGGGCUGAAGUCGGUCCCAAGGGUAUGGCUGUUCGCCAUUUAAAGUGGUACGCGAGCUGGGUUUAGAACGUCGUGAGACAGUUCGGUCCCUAUCUGCCGUGGGCGUUGGAAGAUUGAAGGGGGCUGCUCCUAGUACGAGAGGACCGGAGUGGACGAACCUCUGGUGUUCGGGUUGUGUCGCCAGACGCAUUGCCCGGUAGCUAAGUUCGGAAUCGAUAACCGCUGAAAGCAUCUAAGCGGGAAGCGAGCCCUGAGAUGAGUCUUCCCUGAUACUUUAAGUAUCCUAAAGGGUUGUCGGAGACUACGACGUUGAUAGGUCAGGUGUGUAAGUGCUGUGAGGCAUUGAGCUAACUGAUACUAAUUGCCCGUGAGGCUUAACCAU
RNAcentral lists this ribosomal RNA (2892 nucleotides) under Vibrio parahaemolyticus. RNAcentral describes it as "23S ribosomal RNA". It matches the Rfam family "Bacterial large subunit ribosomal RNA". The record is from RNAcentral. Lineage: Bacteria; Pseudomonadati; Pseudomonadota; Gammaproteobacteria; Vibrionales; Vibrionaceae.